Non-coding RNA from Dufourea novaeangliae, 45 nucleotides. Lineage: Eukaryota; Metazoa; Arthropoda; Insecta; Hymenoptera; Halictidae. The record is from Rfam.
CAAUCGGCCCUUUUCAGGGCCAAAAUGAUUCCAACAAAGUACAAU